This 104-nucleotide small RNA is filed under the name Sodalis praecaptivus. The record is from RNAcentral. Lineage: Bacteria; Pseudomonadati; Pseudomonadota; Gammaproteobacteria; Enterobacterales; Bruguierivoracaceae.
UAGGACGUUAAAAGCCUACGAAAAAUGCCAACUUUUAGCGCACGGCUCUCUCCCAAGAGCCAUUUCCCUGGACCGAAUAUAGGAAUCGUAUUCGGUCUUUUUUU